RNAcentral lists this ribosomal RNA (468 nucleotides) under uncultured bacterium. Its description in RNAcentral is "partial 16S ribosomal RNA". It matches the Rfam family "Bacterial small subunit ribosomal RNA", at positions 28 to 507 of the family's 1533-position model. The record is from RNAcentral.
GACGAACGCUGGCGGCGUGCUUAACACAUGCAAGUCGAACGGAAAGGCCCUGCUUUUGUGGGGUGCUCGAGUGGCGAACGGGUGAGUAACACGUGAGUAACCUGCCCUUGACUUUGGGAUAACUUCAGGAAACUGGGGCUAAUACCGGAUAGGAGCUCCUGCUGCAUGGUGGGGGUUGGAAAGUUUCGGCGGUUGGGGAUGGACUCGCGGCUUAUCAGCUUGUUGGUGGGGUAGUGGCUUACCAAGGCUUUGACGGGUAGCCGGCCUGAGAGGGUGACCGGCAACAUUGGGAAUGAGAUAGGGCCCGGACUCUGCCGGGGGGAGGAAGGGGGGAAUUGUGCACAAGGGGGGGAAGCCGGAUGCAGCAACGCCGGGUGCGGGAUGACGGCUUUGGGGUUGUAAACCGCUUUCGCCUGUGACGAAGGGGGAGUGAGGGAAAGGGGUAAAGAAGCCCCGGCAAACUAGGUC